UACGUAGGGUGCGAGCGUUAAUCGGAAUUACUGGGCGUAAAGCGUGCGCAGGCGGUUUUGUAAGCCAGAUGUGAAAGCCCCGGGCUUAACCUGGGAAUGGCACUUGGGACUGCAAGGCUUGAGUGCGGCAGAGGAGACUGGAAUUCCUGGUGUAGCAGUGAAAUGCGUAGAUAUCAGGAGGAAUACCGAUGGCGAAGGCGGCUCACUGGCUCGUUUCUGACGCUCAGGCGCGACAGCGUGGGGAUCAAACAGG
This 253-nucleotide ribosomal RNA is filed under the name uncultured bacterium. Its description in RNAcentral is "partial 16S ribosomal RNA". It matches the Rfam family "Bacterial small subunit ribosomal RNA", at positions 524 to 776 of the family's 1533-position model. The record is from RNAcentral.